GUAACACGUAGUCAACAUGCCCAGGGGACGUGGAUAACCUCGGGAAACUGAGGAUAAACCGCGAUAGGCCAUGAUUUCUGGAAUGGUUCAUGGCCGAAAUCUAUAUGGCCCCUGGAUUGGACUGCGGCCGAUCAGGCUGUUGGUGAGGUAAUGGCCCACCAAACCUGUAACCGGUACGGGCUCUGAGAGGAGGAGCCCGGAGAUGGGCACUGAGACAAGGGCCCAGGCCCUAUGGGGCGCAGCAGGCGCGAAAUCUCUGCAAUAGGCGAAAGCUUGACAGGGUUACUCUGAGUGAUUCCCGCUAAGGGGAUCUUUUGGCACCUUUAAAAAUGGUGCAAAAUAAGGGGUGGGCAAGUCUGGUGCCAGCA
This 368-nucleotide ribosomal RNA is filed under the name uncultured Nitrososphaeraceae archaeon. Its description in RNAcentral is "bacterial SSU rRNA". It matches the Rfam family "Archaeal small subunit ribosomal RNA", at positions 93 to 463 of the family's 1478-position model. Lineage: Archaea; Thermoproteati; Nitrososphaerota; Nitrososphaeria; Nitrososphaerales; Nitrososphaeraceae. The record is from RNAcentral.